UGGCGUGUAGCUCAGCGGUAGAGCAGACGGCUGUUAACCGUCCGGUCGUUGAUUCGAAUUCAACCAUGCCAG
Molecule: transfer RNA, 72 nt
Filed under: Caudoviricetes sp.
Lineage: Duplodnaviria; Heunggongvirae; Uroviricota; Caudoviricetes
Description: tRNA-Asn
Rfam family: tRNA
About the family: Transfer RNA (tRNA) molecules are approximately 80 nucleotides in length. Their secondary structure includes four short double-helical elements and three loops (D, anti-codon, and T loops).
Source: RNAcentral